AUUGAACGCUGGCGGCAGGCCUAACACAUGCAAGUCGAACGGUAACAGAAAGCAGCUUGCUGCUUUGCUGACGAGUGGCGGACGGGUGAGUAAUGUCUGGGAAACUGCCUGAUGGAGGGGGAUACCUACUGGAAACGGUAGCUAAUACCGCAUAACGUCGCAAGACCAAAGAGGGGGACCUUCGGGCCUCUUGCCAUCGGAUGUGCCCAGAUGGGAUUAGCUAGUAGGUGGGGUAACGGCUCACCUAGGCGACGAUCCCUAGCUGGUCUGAGAGGAUGACCAGCCACACUGGAACUGAGACACGGUCCAGACUCCUACGGGAGGCAGCAGUGGGGAAUAUUGCACAAUGGGCGCAAGCCUGAUGCAGCCAUGCCGCGUGUAUGAAGAAGGCCUUCGGGUUGUAAAGUACUUUCAGCGAGGAGGAAGGUGUUGUGGUUAAUAACCGCAGCAAUUGACGUUACUCGCAGAAGAAGCACCGGCUAACUCCGUGCCAGCCGCCGCGGUAA
This 506-nucleotide ribosomal RNA is filed under the name uncultured bacterium. Its description in RNAcentral is "partial 16S ribosomal RNA". It matches the Rfam family "Bacterial small subunit ribosomal RNA", at positions 30 to 523 of the family's 1533-position model. The record is from RNAcentral.